UACGAACGCUGGCGGCAUGCCUAACACAUGCAAGUCGAACGGGAUCCAUCCUUCGGGGUGGUGAGAGUGGCGGACGGGUGAGUAACGCGUGGGAACCUGCCCAGUGGUGGGGGAUAACUGCGGGAAACUGCAGCUAAUACCGCAUGAGCCCGAGAGGGGAAAGAUUUAUCGCCAUUGGAGGGGCCCGCGUUCGAUUAGGUAGUUGGUGGGGUAAUGGCCUACCAAGCCGACGAUCGAUAGCUGGUCUGAGAGGAUGAUCAGCCACACUGGGACUGAGAUACGGCCCAGACUCCUACGGGAGGCAGCAGUGGGGAAUAUUGGACAAUGGGGGCAACCCUGAUCCAGCAAUGCCGCGUGAGUGAUGAAGGCCUUAGGGUUGUAAAGCUCUUUUGCCAGGGACGAUGAUGACGGUACCUGGAGAAUAAGCCCCGGCUAACUUCGUGCCAGCAGCCGCGGUAAUACGAAGGGGGCAAGCGUUGUUCGGAAUUACUGGGCGUAAAGGGCGC
This 506-nucleotide ribosomal RNA is filed under the name uncultured bacterium. Its description in RNAcentral is "bacterial SSU rRNA". It matches the Rfam family "Bacterial small subunit ribosomal RNA", at positions 28 to 570 of the family's 1533-position model. The record is from RNAcentral.